ACCCGCUGAACUUAAGCAUAUCAAUAAGCGGAGGAAAAGAAACCAACAGGGAUUGCCCUAGUAACGGCGAGUGAAGCGGCAACAGCUCAAAUUUGAAAUCUGGCCCUUUCAGGGUCCGAGUUGUAAUUUGUAGAGGGCGCUUUGGUGUUGGCUGCGGUCUAAGUUCCUUGGAACAGGACGUCACAGAGGGUGAGAAUCCCGUACGUGGUCGACAGUCUUCACCGUGUAAAGCCCCUUCGACGAGUCGAGUUGUUUGGGAAUGCAGCUCUAAAUGGGAGGUAAAUUUCUUCUAAAGCUAAAUAUUGGCCAGAGACCGAUAGCGCACAAGUAGAGUGAUCGAAAGAUGAAAAGCACUUUGGAAAGAGAGUCAAAAAGCACGUGAAAUUGUUGAAAGGGAAGCGCUUGCAAUCAGACUUGCCUGUAGUUGCUCAUCUGGACUCUUGUCCGGUGCACUCUUCUGCGGGCAGGCCAGCAUCAGUUCAGGCGGCUGGAUAAAGGCCUCUAUCACGUAUCUUCCUUCGGGAUGACCUUAUAGGGGAGGUGUAAUGCAGCCAGCCUGGAUUGAGGUCCGCGCAUCUGCUAGGAUGCUGGCGUAAUGAUUGUAAGCGGCCCGUCUUGAAACACGGACCAAGGAGUCUAACAUCUAUGCGAGUGUUUGGGUGUCAAGCCCGGACGCGCAAUGAAAGUGAACGGAGGUGGGAACCCUCACGGGUGCACCAUCGACCGAUCCUGAUGUCUUCGGAUGGAUUUGAGUAAGAGCAUAGCUGUUGGGACCCGAAAGAUGGUGAACUAUGCCUGAAUAGGGUGAAGCCAGAGGAAACUCUGGUGGAGGCUCGCAGCGGUUCUGACGUGCAAAUCGAUCGUCAAAUUUGGGCAUAGGGGCGAAAGACUAAUCGA
RNAcentral lists this ribosomal RNA (897 nucleotides) under Nigrograna magnoliae. RNAcentral describes it as "Nigrograna sp. NIS-2019a partial large subunit ribosomal RNA". It matches the Rfam family "Eukaryotic large subunit ribosomal RNA", at positions 23 to 938 of the family's 3401-position model. The record is from RNAcentral. Lineage: Eukaryota; Fungi; Ascomycota; Dothideomycetes; Pleosporales; Nigrogranaceae.